This 850-nucleotide ribosomal RNA is filed under the name Salmonella enterica. RNAcentral's name for it is "bacterial SSU rRNA". It matches the Rfam family "Bacterial small subunit ribosomal RNA", at positions 262 to 1104 of the family's 1533-position model. Lineage: Bacteria; Pseudomonadati; Pseudomonadota; Gammaproteobacteria; Enterobacterales; Enterobacteriaceae. RNAcentral also lists the same sequence under 1 other name. The record is from RNAcentral.
GGCUCACCAAGGCGACGAUCCCUAGCUGGUCUGAGAGGAUGACCAGCCACACUGGAACUGAGACACGGUCCAGACUCCUACGGGAGGCAGCAGUGGGGAAUAUUGCACAAUGGGCGCAAGCCUGAUGCAGCCAUGCCGCGUGUAUGAAGAAGGCCUUCGGGUUGUAAAGUACUUUCAGCGGGGAGGAAGGUGUUGCGGUUAAUAACCGCAGCAAUUGACGUUACCCGCAGAAGAAGCACCGGCUAACUCCGUGCCAGCAGCCGCGGUAAUACGGAGGGUGCAAGCGUUAAUCGGAAUUACUGGGCGUAAAGCGCACGCAGGCGGUCUGUCAAGUCGGAUGUGAAAUCCCCGGGCUCAACCUGGGAACUGCAUUCGAAACUGGCAGGCUUGAGUCUUGUAGAGGGGGGUAGAAUUCCAGGUGUAGCGGUGAAAUGCGUAGAGAUCUGGAGGAAUACCGGUGGCGAAGGCGGCCCCCUGGACAAAGACUGACGCUCAGGUGCGAAAGCGUGGGGAGCAAACAGGAUUAGAUACCCUGGUAGUCCACGCCGUAAACGAUGUCUACUUGGAGGUUGUGCCCUUGAGGCGUGGCUUCCGGAGCUAACGCGUUAAGUAGACCGCCUGGGGAGUACGGCCGCAAGGUUAAAACUCAAAUGAAUUGACGGGGGCCCGCACAAGCGGUGGAGCAUGUGGUUUAAUUCGAUGCAACGCGAAGAACCUUACCUGGUCUUGACAUCCACAGAACUUUCCAGAGAUGGAUUGGUGCCUUCGGGAACUGUGAGACAGGUGCUGCAUGGCUGUCGUCAGCUCGUGUUGUGAAAUGUUGGGUUAAGUCCCGCAACGAGCGCAACCC